RNAcentral lists this ribosomal RNA (494 nucleotides) under uncultured bacterium. Its description in RNAcentral is "partial 16S ribosomal RNA". It matches the Rfam family "Bacterial small subunit ribosomal RNA", at positions 28 to 507 of the family's 1533-position model. The record is from RNAcentral.
GACGAACGCUGGCGGCGUGCUUAACACAUGCAAGUCGAACGGAAAGGCCUGCUUUCCCUUGUGGAUUGCGGGUACUUGGGUGGAGAACGGGUGAGUAACACGUGAGUGAUCUGCCCCCAACUUGGGUAUACGCCUGGGCAACUGGGUCUAAUUCCCGAUAGGACUGAAGGGUGGUGCCUGUUGUGGAAAUCGUUGUUCUAGUGGUUGGGGAUGAGCUCGCGGCCUAUCAGCUUGUUGGAGGGGUAAUGGCCUACCAGGGCGGCGACGGGUAGCCGACGUGAGGGGGUGUACGUGCACAGUGGGGCUGACAUACGGCACGGAGACCGAGGGACGGCAGCGGCGGCGACUGGAGGACGAUGGGCGGAAGCCUGAGGCAGCGACGACGCGUGGGCGAUGCCGGGCUGCGUGAUUUAAGCAGCUUUCGGGCGCGAGGAAGCCACUUGGUUGGAAGGGUGGUGACGGUAGUGGGAGAAGAAGCCCCGGCUAACUACGUG